Molecule: ribosomal RNA, 484 nt
Filed under: uncultured bacterium
Lineage: Bacteria
Description: partial 16S ribosomal RNA
Rfam family: Bacterial small subunit ribosomal RNA
Source: RNAcentral
AUUGAACGCUGGCGGCAGGCCUAACACAUGCAAGUCGAGCGGUAGAGGGAAGCUUGCUUCUCUUGAGAGCGGCGGACGGGUGAGUAAUGCCUAGGAAUCUGCCUGGUAGUGGGGGAUAACGUUCGGAAACGGACGCUAAUACCGCAUACGUCCUACGGGAGAAAGCAGGGGACCUUCGGGCCUUGCGCUAUCAGAUGAGCCUAGGUCGGAUUAGCUAGUUGGUGGGGUAAUGGCUCACCAAGGCGACGAUCCGUAACUGGUCUGAGAGGAUGAUCAGUCACACUGGAACUGAGACACGGUCCAGACUCCUACGGGAGGCAGCAGUGGGGAAUAUUGGACAAUGGGCGAAAGCCUGAUCCAGCCAUGCCGCGUGUGUGAAGAAGGUCUUCGGAUUGUAAAGCACUUUAAGUUGGGAGGAAGGGCAGUAAAUUAAUACUUUGCUGUUUUGACGUUACCGACAGAAUAAGCACCGGCUAACUCUGUG